RNAcentral lists this ribosomal RNA (497 nucleotides) under uncultured bacterium. RNAcentral describes it as "partial 16S ribosomal RNA". It matches the Rfam family "Bacterial small subunit ribosomal RNA", at positions 28 to 507 of the family's 1533-position model. The record is from RNAcentral.
GACGAACGCUGGCGGCGUGCCUAAUACAUGCAAGUUGAGCGCUGAAGGUUGGUACUUGUACCAACUGGAUUAGCAGCGAACGGGUGAGUAACGCGUGGGGAAUCUGCCUUUUAGCUGUGUACAACAUUUGGAAACGAAUGCUAAUACCGCAUAAAAACUUUAAACACAAGUUUUAAGUUUGAAAGAUGCAAUUGCAUCACCCACAGAUUAUCCCUCGUUGUAUUGGCUAGUUGGUGAGGUAAAGGCUCACCAAGGCGAUGAUACAUAGCCGACCUGAGAGGGUGAUCGGGCAAAUUGGGAGUGAGACAAGGCCCAAAAUAAUACGGGAGGCAGCAGUAGGGAAACGUGGGGAAAGGAGGAAAGUCAGAACGAGAAAAGCCGGGGGAGUGAAGAAGGAUUUAGGAUCGUAAAACUCUGUUGGUAGAGAAGAAAGGUGGGGAGAGUGGAAAGCUCAUCAAGUGACGGUAACGACACAGAAGGGGACGGCUAACUACGUG